Molecule: ribosomal RNA, 400 nt
Filed under: uncultured bacterium
Lineage: Bacteria
Description: bacterial SSU rRNA
Rfam family: Bacterial small subunit ribosomal RNA
Source: RNAcentral
GAGGAAUAUUGGACAAUGGGCGAAAGCCUGAUCCAGCCAUGCCGCGUGAGUGAUGAAGGCCUUAGGGUUGUAAAGCUCUUUCGGCGCAGAAUAUAAUGAAUGUGUGCGCAUAAGAAGCCCCGGCUAAAUUCGUGCCAGCAGCCGCGGUAACACGAAUGGGGCAAGCGUUGUUCGGAAUCACUGGGCGUAAAGAGUGCGUAGGCGGUAGAGCAAGUCAGAAGUGAAAGCCCCGGGCUUAACCCGGGAACUGCUUUUGAAACUGCUUUACUAGAGUCUUGGAGAGGUUAGCAGAAUUCCGAGUGUAGAGGUGAAAUUCGCAGAUAUUCGGAGGAAUACCAAUGGCGUAGGCAGCUAACUGGACAAGUACUGACGCUGAGGCACGAAAGCGUGGGGAUCAAAC